Molecule: non-coding RNA, 19 nt
Filed under: Arabidopsis thaliana (thale cress)
Lineage: Eukaryota; Viridiplantae; Streptophyta; Magnoliopsida; Brassicales; Brassicaceae
Source: RNAcentral
CGCGUGCCGGCCGGGGGAC